UACGAAGGGGGCUAGCGUUGUUCGGAAUUACUGGGCGUAAAGCGCGCGCAGGCGGUUUCUCAAGUCAGCGGUGAAAGCCCGGAGCUCAACUCCGGAACUGCCAUUGAAACUGUGAAACUUGAGGACGAGAGAGGUGAGUGGAAUUCCCAGUGUAGAGGUGAAAUUCGUAGAUAUUGGGAAGGACACCGGUGGCGAAGGCGGCUCACUGGCUCGUUUCUGACGCUCAGGCGCGACAGCGUGGGGAUCAAACAGG
Molecule: ribosomal RNA, 253 nt
Filed under: uncultured bacterium
Lineage: Bacteria
Description: partial 16S ribosomal RNA
Rfam family: Bacterial small subunit ribosomal RNA
Source: RNAcentral